RNAcentral lists this ribosomal RNA (75 nucleotides) under Pelobates cultripes (western spadefoot toad). RNAcentral describes it as "SSU_rRNA_eukarya". It matches the Rfam family "Eukaryotic small subunit ribosomal RNA", at positions 311 to 385 of the family's 1831-position model. The record is from RNAcentral. Lineage: Eukaryota; Metazoa; Chordata; Amphibia; Anura; Pelobatidae.
CCUAUCAACUUUCGAUGUUACUUUCUCUGCCUACCAUGGUGACCACGGGUAACGGGGAAUCAGGGUUCGAUUCUG